AUUUAAAUAGCUUAAAAAUAAGAGCGUAACAUUGAAGAUGUUAAAGUGAUUUUUUAAAUCUUUAAAUA
This 68-nucleotide transfer RNA is filed under the name Oliarces clara. Its description in RNAcentral is "tRNA-Phe". It matches the Rfam family "tRNA". From Rfam's summary of the family: Transfer RNA (tRNA) molecules are approximately 80 nucleotides in length. The record is from RNAcentral. Lineage: Eukaryota; Metazoa; Arthropoda; Insecta; Neuroptera; Ithonidae.